This 512-nucleotide ribosomal RNA is filed under the name uncultured bacterium. RNAcentral describes it as "partial 16S ribosomal RNA". It matches the Rfam family "Bacterial small subunit ribosomal RNA", at positions 28 to 523 of the family's 1533-position model. The record is from RNAcentral.
GACGAACGCUGGCGGCGUGCCUAAUACAUGCAAGUCGAGCGGAUUGAUGGGAGCUUGCUCCCUGAUAUCAGCGGCGGACGGGUGAGUAACACGUGGGCAACCUGCCUAUAAGACUGGGAUAACUUCGGGAAACCGGAGCUAAUACCGGAUAAUCCCUUUCCUCUCAUGAGGAAAGGCUGAAAGAUGGUUUACGCUAUCACUUAUAGAUGGGCCCGCGGCGCAUUAGCUAGUUGGUGAGGUAACGGCUCACCAAGGCAACGAUGCGUAGCCGACCUGAGAGGGUGAUCGGCCACACUGGGACUGAGACACGGCCCAGACUCCUACGGGGGGAAGCAGUAGGGAAUCUUCCGAAAUGGACGAAAGUCUGACGGAGCAACGCCGCGUGAGUGAUGAAGGUUUUCGGAUCGUAAAACUCUGUUGUUAGGGAAGAACAAGUACGAGAGUAACUGCUCGUACCUUGACGGUACCUAACCAGAAAGCCACGGCUAACUACGUGCCAGCAGCCGCCGCCG